This 253-nucleotide ribosomal RNA is filed under the name uncultured bacterium. Its description in RNAcentral is "partial 16S ribosomal RNA". It matches the Rfam family "Bacterial small subunit ribosomal RNA", at positions 524 to 776 of the family's 1533-position model. The record is from RNAcentral.
GACGAACUGUGCAAACGUUAUUCGGAAUCACUGGGCUUGAAGAGUGCGUAGGCGGUUUCGUAAGUAGGGUGUGAAAGCCUCCGGCUUAACCGGAGAAUUGCGCCCUAAACUGCGAGGCUGGAGUGAGGUAGGGGUGUGUGGAACUUCCAGUGGAGCGGUGAAAUGUGUUGAUAUUGGAAGGAACGCCGGUGGCGAAAGCGACUCACUGGACCUUGUCUGACGCUGAGGCACGAAAGCCAGGGGAGCAAACGGG